CUCGUCGAGUCCGCUUCUCACGCUAACCAUUGGCCGUCACCACUGAGAUCCGGAGCCUACUCUCGCAGCUGCCACCAGCUCGUCACCGUAUCUGUUGAUCUCCUCCACCGCUUCCAACCAGGAGGCAACAUGUCGUCGCUUGCCGCUGUGAGAGCAGAUAACUUCUAUUACCCGCCGGAAUGGAGCCCAAAGAAGGGUGGGUUGAACAAGUUCCACAGGCAGCAUGCGCUGCGGGGGUAGGCGAUGAAGCUUGACCAAGGCAUCCUGAUCAUAAGGCACCUUUCGGCGAGCAUGGUUGUGGGCAGGCAUAAAGUUGGAGUGACCCGUCCCGUAGCAUUUAAUGCUAUGUGACGGACUCGCAAUCGAGCGUGAUAGCGCUCGGCAGACGUGACAGGGCCUGUAGAGCAACUAAGGUAGAUUGGGUGUGCAUGCCAUCCGUAAUGAUGACCUAGGAGUAGGUUGGCUUCGUCAGGAGUGGACUUACUACAGAGUUUGGCAUGGUCCGUUUGUAUGUACUACUUUUUCCCUGUUAUAUAAAGGGAGAGGGCCCGACUUGUAAAAAGAGACAUUCUGAAACAAGUUCAUCUAAUCUAUAAGAAAAUACAUAGGGUAUAGGACUAUUAUCCCACAGGAGGCCUAGACCUGAAUAAAUCCCACCAUAAAGAAACAUCGAUCAAUGUGCACAUCAUCCAGUACACCCCGGAUUCAUUGUUAGGGAUCAUCCCCGAUAGUUGGUGCGCCAAGUAAGGGCGCAUUUUUCGUGUUUCUUUAGGUAUUGAGACCAUGGUUGGACUACCCAUGUCCAGAUUUGUGAUGGCCAUGGAGUCCCGUUUCGAUGACCCCAACCGUCGUGAGGUUUUCGUCAUGGAGUACGACUCAUACGAGCAUGGUAUGCUCCGAGCAUGGGACAUCGAGACGGAGUCCGAGAAUUUAGAGAUCGAACGUGAAGUCUGCAUGGCGGACCAUGGGACGGGGGGCAAUAGAGAUGCUCGUGCCUCGGGAACCAGAGGUGAGCCCCAAGCCAUUGGCCAAGAGGGAAACCAACCUGGUGCCAGGCAUGGAGGUGGUCCUAUACCGCCCCAGUGACUACAACGCCACCCGAAGGAGCGCCUGUGGAGGUUGAGCCCUCGGCGGUGAAGUCUUUAAGGCCGUCGUGCCACACCGCAGACUCGCACCGUACGCGC
This is a long non-coding RNA of Phragmites australis (common reed), 1184 nucleotides long. RefSeq lists it as uncharacterized. The record is from RefSeq and is a predicted model, not a curated record. The transcript is spliced from 4 exons. Lineage: Eukaryota; Viridiplantae; Streptophyta; Magnoliopsida; Poales; Poaceae.